This is a non-coding RNA of Microcebus murinus (gray mouse lemur), 8402 nucleotides long. Lineage: Eukaryota; Metazoa; Chordata; Mammalia; Primates; Cheirogaleidae. The record is from RefSeq and is a predicted model, not a curated record.
CGCUGCGGCCGGGCCGGGGAGGGGGCGGGGGCCGGGGGCUGGGUCCCCGCGGAACUUCCAGAUUGGAAGUGUGGCGAGUCUCUCGGGAACCCACAUUUUCUUUUCGGAUUCUCCGCGAAGGGGUGGAGAAACAGGAUGGAAACCGGAUUGGUUGCAAUGUGGCACAGAACUGGAACCUUCCUGAGAGAGGUUGGGGCAGGCAGUGACUGUUCAGACGUCCAGUUUCUUUGGGACACCUCUUCAGCGCUGUCGCCCCUGCCUUUGGGACGAGUCGCAGACACCAACAAACUCAAGGCACGUUCCCCCUCUCAGGUCUGCUGCGAAGGGACGGGAGGAAGAUACAGCCUUGCCCUCCUUCAACUUCCAGUUCUUGUUUGUUUUCGAAAUGUUUUGUUUCAAAUAUUAAUGGACGAUAUGACAAUACGGAUAUGUCCCCUCCUCGUGAAGAGCAAGCGAGCAACCGCCCACCAGCCCCCGUCAAGCGUGCCUUGCACUCCCGGGGACAAACGGACGUGGCAGGAGUUGAGAUGCCCGAGAUGCAGCUGGGAAGGACGGUCCAUAGUGGAAGGCGAGGGCCAAGCUUGAGCUCUCUCGGCGCUCGCCAGCGUAGGACCAAGUAGCUUCCAAACUUGCCUUUGCCUCUUGCGAGGCGUCGGGGCCCACGGUGGUGAUGCUUCAAAGGCGGGAGGACAAAGUGCUGGGGACAAGAAUAUACCAGGCGCCCAGAAGGUUCUAACAGGCGCGCCAAGACACUAAGACCGUGUUUCCUUCCUGCGUGGUGGUGGCCGUUGGUUGUGCAUGGGCUGCGAAGAUUGGAUUUCUGAGAGGUCAAAGCUGCAGGAGAAAAACAAAAACCAAAUAAACUUAGAAGCCUGCCAAGCUCCCUCUCUUUCUCUCUCAGCGCUCUCUGACUGGCCCAAGCUGAGCUGCACCCCAGACACUUUCUCCCUCUGGAGGAUGGGCCUUUCUUUCCCAGGCACGAAGAGCAUGUGUCCCACUGGGUUCUUGCCUUCAAGAGCAGUCUGAACCCUGCGGAGGCCGAGGGCAAGGUGCCUUGAAAGAGGCAGGCACAUUCACGCUCUCACGUCUAGGGUUUCGCCUUUCUUACAGUACAGUAUUCAUAGUGAGGGGUACUUCACACCCCUCCUCUCCCUAUCUCCGUUCCCACCCCACGACGUCUGAGCCCACAGUUACUCUCAGGGUGUCUACACUCAUAGGUUUUGCGCCCAGGGCACGCUGUCUGCAGGGGAAGCGGGUGGGGCCCUUAUCAGAAGCUCCCGGAGCGAGUCCCUUUUAAGAAUGAGAAGCAGGAAAGAAAAUAGAGAUGCAAUCUUUACACUCUGCAUUCUGUCCCUAGUAAGAGAAUAUGUAACUCCUGUUCUUUCCUUCAUUGUUCCAGGAAUUACCCUCUUUCUCCAGGGAAUCCACCAGUUGGUGAUUAAGGGAUUUUUAAUUGUGCUUGUUAUGUACUUAACAAAAUACAGUGUGUCUUCUGGUGGCAUUGUUUCAUUGGGAAAUUAGAAAAGUAGAGAGAAGCUACGUAAUCUAGUUCCUAGGUGAUCUCUGGAAAGUUGGCCUCAUGCUGGAUGACUAAAUAUGAAGUGUAUAAGAUUUGAAAGAAAGGAAGAGAGCUGAAGGCCUGGUGAUAGUGUUUGUGAGAAAUGGAAGAUGUUACACUCCAGCAUUUGUUGAGGGAAUGAGGAAGAACUUAUGAAAACUACGUGAUUUCAUUCAGUUUUGUGGCACUGGCACUUCAGCUUAUGAUUGCAGUUGCUUGAUAAAUGAAUACUAGUAAUUUUUGGCAUAGAAUAAUUGCAAAUGCUAGUGAUGAAAUCUAAAGGAAACCUCAACCCAUAGUCAACAAAAAGUAUUUUGAUUUUUAUGGUUCAUGUAGUUUAAAUACUUAUCUCAUUUUUUUUUUCCUUUGCAGAAUUAUUUUCUUAUAAAAAUUUCCAUUAGGUGUCAGUCUGACUGAGCUGGUUCUUAUUUAAGUUUGGGGGGGAAAGUGUUUCAUCAUCAGACCUUUUAAGAUAAGAAAGAGGAAAAAAUUCAAAACUGUAUUAAAUUGAAAUUAUUGCAGUUAAUUGUUCUUGUUACAAGGCAGCUUUUUCCCCUCAGAAAAUAGAAUUUUAAAUUACAUCAAUACUAGUCAAUUAUUGCUUUUGCCCUGUCAGUGUCCAUAGCCAAGAUUAAAGAAGUACAAAAUGCUUGUUUGUGCUUUACAUGCUAGAACCAAGUAAUAUUGAAUAGUCAUAAUUGCUGGUUGGUUUCUCAGUUGAUGUCCAAAUACUAGAACAGUACGCAUCUUUUUUAAAAAUUUGUUUGUUUUACAAAGGUGAUUGAAUUUUUUUUUUUUCUGAAAAAAAGAACAUGGAUGCAGCUUAGACUAUUCAUUUGACAAUAAAACUUAGGGCAUAGUGGAAAAGGAGAGAGAAAACUUAUGAAAAUUGCUUUCCUCCUCCCCACUAGUUUUAAUUUAAUCAAGCCUUUCUAAAUACUCAAAUUUUUAUGAAGAUAAGUUAUGGCUUAUAAAUGGAAGAUUUUGGGUUUCCCAUGGAAAUUUAUAUAAUGUCUAUGAACUUUCAAUUUUCUACUGUGAUAUUCAUUAAUAGGUGUAAGAAACAUCAUCUUGUUUGAUGGUUUGCUACUGAGUCCCAGGUAAGGACCUUGAUAGAAAGAAUUUACUUGUUUUAUUCUUUGUUUGUGAAUCAUGAUCUGAUGUUUUGCUUGAAUAGAAUUUGCAGGUAAUGGUGGUAUUCAUGGUUAAAGAUCCACAGAGGAUCAAGACAACCACUAUGUGUAUAUAAAAAAGAAGUAUUGGACUGAUGAAUCUAAGUAUACUUUUUAAUAAAUAAUCAUUUCCUGGAAUCAGGAUCUUUCCCUGAGACCACUGGUAGCCCUAGUAUGAUGUGGUUCUUGGUUACAGCAACACCAAUCUAGAACCAGAUUAGAGCUCCCAAUGAAAGUCCAGGCAAAGGAGAGAAAUGAUAAAGUAGCAGUUUCAUGGAUGGAAAUUUCUAUAAACUGUAUUGUCAUUUUUCCUAUUAUAUUCCAUAUUAGUAAUGGUAAAUUUUAAAAUAUAUAAAUAGAAAACAAAAGUGGAGAUGAUGGGUAUAUUGGGACAUAUUUUGGGUUUUAUGUGGGACAAAGGGUAAGUACUAGGAUGUAGACAAGACAGUAUAAGGCCAUCAUGAUUAUUCACCAUCCUGUCGGUACUGUACAGGUGCUGCAAUUAUUAUAUCACAGAAGUGACAGAAUGAUGUUCUUACAAUGUUAGAAAGUAGUGAUUCUACGUAUUAGACUUAAAAUUUAAAAGUAAAUUUCUUUUGGAAAUGUUUUCAGUAAUAAGGGAGUAUAUAUAAAUGAAAUCAGAAUAGUGACCACCUAAAUCUUUGAGUUUUGAAUUCUGCUAUAGUCUAGCUAGUAAUAAUGCAAGCUUAGUAAGACAAUUUCAUUCAAAAUGAAAAGUAUUGUAAUAUCUAUACUAGUGUAAAGGUACUUUUCGUUGGCUUUGUUUUUGGAAAUAGCUUUUGAGACUCAGUAAUAAUUCACAGUAUCUGAAAAUAUACACAUAUACCAGCUAGAACCAAAAGUAUUUUAAAAACAAACAAAAAACCCCUAUGAAUUCUAAAACAUUCAGUUUAAAUAAUUUUUAAAUAAGGCUUAUUACAUUAUUAGUUUAAAAUCACUACUGAAUUUCAGUUAAGUUUCAAACUAAAAAUUUAAUGUAAUCAAUUUACUAAUACUGUGUUUUAGUUCAAAUACAAUUUAUAUCAUAAUACACUUUUUAAAAUUUUGACAAAUUAUAUUGCAAUGGUGAUAUAAUUGCAUAAUUUGAAAGUAGCAUCUAUUCAUAAACUUGAAUAAAAUGUGUCCUGUUUGGAAACACUGUUCCUAAAAUGAUUACUUUUGUAAAAAUGAUAUAAUUUAAUUCAAAAAUUAUUAUUUCUUAUAAUUUUGUUUUUUAAGUUUGUUUCCCAUACAUGAGAAAAUUAAUUGUUUGAAGUAUAUCUUUAUCUGUGUGAGCAAGUGUGUUCAAUUUCAAGAACUGGUUCAAACAAAUCCCGAGAUAAAAACUAAAAGUUACUUAUUUAAAAUAGUUUUUAUAUAUCUGCCAAAUAUUCCAUUAGGUUUUGAACUACAAGAAGUACGAGUAAAUGAAUAUCAUGCCUAAUAUUCUAUCAGAAACUGACAUGAGGAAAAGAUCUCUUCCUUUGUAAUAGAAAUAUAUUAUAAGAUUUAUAGAUAUCCUGGAUUGUUACACAUGACUACAGAGAAAUUAAAGUUAUAGAAUCAUUACUUUACGGGUCCAGUUUCAUGCACAGUUUUUUUCUUGACUAUUAUUUAAACAAGCAGGCUUUGAUGGUGUUUACAAAGACAAAACAAAUUGGAGAAUCGAGUCAGUAUACAGAAAGACCUCAAAUUUCACUUUGUCCCCAAUUAUAUGGUACUUAAAGGGAGAGAGUAUAUCUUAUGGUGGGAAAAGCUUUGGAAUAAGACUAGAAAAAUCUGAUUUUGAGUACAGCUUGUGUUGUGAACUAUGGCAAUGGACCAGUCAGAUAGCUUGCCUAGUCCUCAGUUGCCUCCUCCACAAGGAGGGCUAGAUUUAAAUUCUUUCAAGGCCUUUCUACCUGUUUAGGAUUCCAUUUCAAAGAAAGCCUCUUUUUUUUGUUCUGAAUUCUACUCUUCAUUUUAGGUGCAGAUAGUAUUGUGCAAAUGGACACUACAACUAAGAAAGAAGCUUUAAAAAAGUAUUCACCAGCAUAUUUUGUCUUGUUAUUGAACAAGAAAUUGGUCUUCUAGAAUUUUUACUUAAAUUCUUAAAACAUGAAACACAUGGGAACAUUUUUAUCACUUUUUCAUACUUCAAUUUUUGUUUCAAGUUUUAGUAGGAAAGAAAAGCCCCAAAAGAAUGAUUUACAGAUUAUUCUAAAUCUGUAAAUAAUUUACAGAUUAUUCUAAUGUGUUAUUAUGGACCUGCAUAUAUAUUUGUAUAACAAAUUUAAAGAUUCAUCCCCAAAAGCAUUUCAGCCUAAUGAAACAAAUUCACAAACAACUGUAUUUAAAGUCAAUAUAUGUGAUUGCAGUGGAUAAAGAAUAAACACUUGGCCUUUUAAAAUGUUUAUUCUGUGUGUAAAUGUUUAUGCUAUUAAAUUUAAUUACAACUUUUGGAAGAAUUGGGUUUUUUUUCUAUUUUGUUAAAAAUGACCAAUAUUUGUCUAGGAUAUUUAGCUCUACUAUAAUCCUAUAGCCUUUUAAAAUACCUCGUCCCGUGGCUGGCAUGAUUGGCGCUCAAAAAUAUUUAUUAAUUUAGUGAAAGCAAUGAUAUCCUUUCAGGAUAUAUGUUAAUAUAAAAUUUUAUAUUUUUAAUAAUUAAUGUCCUUUUAAAAGUAAUUAUUAUAUAAAAUGACUGUUGCACUGCUAUGUUGUUUAAUGUUAACGAUUUUUAAUUCUCAAAUUUGUUUACUAAUGGGGCAGUUCUUUGCUAAGAAAGAAAAUUUAUUCUGUUUCUUAGAUAGGACUCUCAAAUAAUUGAAAAACCUAUGAAAACAUUUCUUUCAAGGUGGUAUUCUGUUUGAAACUCCAAAUAACUGUUUAAUCUGCUAUUGAAAUAGAAUAAUUUUACUCUAUAUGAAUGUCACCUAAGGUAUUUUAUUUAAUAUUAAGUAUAUAAAUAUUUGUAAGAAUUAAUAAAUUUAUUAACAAGUAAUCAAUAGAAUUACACUUUAUGCAAUGUAAUAAUUACUAUGAUACAUGUAUUUUCAAAGCUAAGGAACUGUGCAAUUUUUUAAAAACUUUUUUUAUUAUUUCCUAGGAAAGCAGACUAAAUUGUAAUUUUCACUUGAAAGGUGUGAGUGUCCUGAAUGUUCCAAGUAUAGUAAAUAUAAGUUGACCUCAAUCACAAAAGAAUAUACCCAUUCGCUAAAAAUUAAACUAUUAAUAGUUCAUCAGCUACUGCUUUAUCCAGAUAAUUUACAUAAUGCCUAUUCACAGUUUAAUGAUGGGUAUGAAACAUUAUGUUCAGUUAAAAGUUUGAGAAUAGGUUCACAAAAAGUUUUAUAAAGCUUUCAAAUGCAAUUGGUUUCAAAUAAAUAUCUGGGGUAGGAGUGUGAGGUUUGGAGCCACUUAUUUACAUUCUUAUUAAAAUAUCUCAUGUUUCUUUAGGUUGUUGGAUGUGGUUGUCCAAAAGAUAGCUUUAAGAUUAUUUUAAUAUUAUAUAUUAGAACAGAGUCAAAAUAAGAGUAUUAUUUACCACAAACGAAGAGGGUUUUUGUUAGCUGUGGAUGUUAUAUUUAUUAAAAAUAGAGGCUAACGACGUUAAACUUUUGAGUCAGUUUUACAUUUACAUCUGGUGAUUUGUGCAGAUAACAAUUGAAUUUGACAAGAGACAGGGGAAAUGGUAGCAAGUAACAGUGUUAAGGAUGUGGACUGUAGAGAGGAAUGUGCAGCUUUUGGUGAUGUAUUAAAGAAAUAAUAAUGAAAUUCCCGGUGGCUGUUUUAUUGAUAAAUCUAAUAGCUGGUACCCAUAAAGCUUUAAGAAAUAUCAAUUUUAGGAUGCAUUAGAAGAGAUCUUGUUCUUUUAGAUAGUGCCCUUUUUCCAGUUGUGAUGAUCAGUUGUAAAUAUUGAUUUUAUACAGUUUACCUAUAUCAAGACAUUCUUUCAUAGUGUGAAUUACAACUGUAUUCAAAAACUCUUGCUUUUAUUUAGGUAGAAAGUCAUCCUCUGGUAUAGAACUAUAAAUCAAUUAAAAUAUAAAUAAUCUCUGAGUAAAGUGGGCCUAGCUUAUAUGUACAAAAUUGAGAAAGGCAGGAAAUCUGGAUGUUUCUCAAGUCAAAAGAAAGAACAUCAAUCUGAAAAGACAGACUUCUGAAAAUUAAGCCUAAGGAAGAAAUGGCUUAAAAGAGCUAGCCUUUUUUAUCCAUUUUUCUAUUGGAAAACAUAUAUAUUAUAUUUGAAUUUAUGCUUUGGAAAUAAAUUAAUGUAGGAGAAUUUGGUUAAGACGGUGUUUCCGGAUAUAAAAUACCAAUACUAAGAGUUGCAUUUUUCCUCCUCACUGUAAUUGAUUUAUGUUUUAGAGAGAAGGGCUAUUUAAUUAACCGUGGUAAAAAUAUAAAAGAUUGACAUGUUUGUCCUUCCCUGGCUUGGCCUUUAUUUCUGAAGACAUAACAUUUCCACUUGAUCAUUUGUUUUCUUUUGAUGUAAUUAUUUUCCAGUCCAUUAUCCACACAGAAUACAAAAUUUCACGAGUCUUGGAUAAACUCAUAGCAAAUUCAUAUGAUAUUUAACUAUUAUGAUAAAUUUCUCUCUCAGAUCUAGUUAUUUGGUAUAUACUACAACUCCCAUGUCUUAUGUAUGAAGUCCUCACAACAUAGAGAAUCUAAGUAACUUCUCCAUGGACACCCAGAUAAUAUUUGGAACCCAUUUUCCAAGUCCUCAUUGGAUGUUUUAUUUCUAACAUACCACACUAAAACUUCUAUGUUGAAGUUUUUUUUUGCAACUUUACUCUUCCUAGUGUCUGACAAUAAUUCUUACAAUUUUCAUACUAUUCAGCAACUAUUUUUACUCAAUCCAUCUAAUUUAAUAAACUUUUUAGAAAGUUUGUUUGUAUAUAAACUUUACAUACAAUGUAAAUAUGCCAAUAGAUUCCCAAGGCCUGUAGUAUGCUUGCACAUACGAAUUUUCAAAAUCUUGCAAAAUUUUAUAGGCUAAAUUAAUAUUAAUAUAGAAACAAAAUUAAAUCAUACUUAAAGGAAUAACUUGAUCUUUUACCCUAGUUACAAAUAUUUCAGUAAAACAAGGAAAAUGUUAAUCAGAAUUACAUCAACUCAAUUUAAUAAGCUUCUAAAUGCAAAUGUUGACUAAUAGAUUGGAUUGACAAACAUUUUUCAUGCAGUGUAUUCAAUGGAAAAUUUAAAAUAAUAUUACUAAAUAAUACUAACCCAGUGAUGUCCUCAUAUCAAGGAACAGAAAUAAAAUCACAUUUUAACAUACAAUUUAAAAUUGUAUUUAUUCUCCUUAUUUCAGUUUUUAAAUAUGCAAAGCUAUCUUAUUGAAUAAAAAGCAACUCUUGGAUUAGAGCAAAGUAAAAUUCUCCAUUUUGCAAAACUCUUGUCCACUUCUGUUGUGCUAUUUAUGAAAAUUGCAUAGUGGUCUGUAACUGACACAUUGAGGUUACUUGUAAUGCUAACCAGUUAAGGGUCUCAGAAAGUUAAUUUCUCACUGUGGGGUCACCCAGCUUAACAAUCAAAGAAGCAUGCUCCCUUUACAUUUGUUGCUUAAGGAGGAAAGAUGCAUUCUGAGAAAUACAUAUGCUGUUAGGGGAUUUUGUUGUUGUGCAAACAUCAUUGAGUGUAUUUAUACAAACCUAGAUAGUACAGCCUACUGCACACCUAGGUAGUAU